This 470-nucleotide ribosomal RNA is filed under the name uncultured beta proteobacterium. RNAcentral's name for it is "bacterial SSU rRNA". It matches the Rfam family "Bacterial small subunit ribosomal RNA", at positions 198 to 650 of the family's 1533-position model. Lineage: Bacteria; Pseudomonadati; Pseudomonadota; Betaproteobacteria. The record is from RNAcentral.
GGAGGAAAGCAGGGGAUCGCAAGACCUUGCGCUCAUUGAGCGGCCGAUGCCUGAUUAGCUAGUUGGUGAGGUAAAGGCUUACCAAGGCGACGAUCAGUAGCUGGUCUGAGAGGACGACCAGCCACACUGGGACUGAGACACGGCCCAGACUCCUACGGGAGGCAGCAGUGGGGAAUUUUGGACAAUGGGGGAAACCCUGAUCCAGCCAUGCCGCGUGAGUGAAGAAGGCCUUCGGGUUGUAAGGCUCUUUCAGCCGGAACGAAACGGUCACGGCUAAUACCUGUGACUACUGACGGUACCGGAAGAAGAAGCACCGGCUAACUACGUGCCAGCAGCCGCGGUAAUACGUAGGGUGCGAGCGUUAAUCGGAAUUACUGGGCGUAAAGCGUGCGCAGGCGGUUUUGUAAGUCAGAUGUGGAAUCCCCGGGCUUAACCUGGGAACUGCGUUUGAAUAACGAGGCUAGAAGGGC